This 468-nucleotide ribosomal RNA is filed under the name uncultured bacterium. RNAcentral's name for it is "partial 16S ribosomal RNA". It matches the Rfam family "Bacterial small subunit ribosomal RNA", at positions 28 to 507 of the family's 1533-position model. The record is from RNAcentral.
GACGAACGCUGGCGGCGUGCUUAACACAUGCAAGUCGAACGGAAAGGCCCUGCUUUUGUGGGGUGCUCGAGUGGCGAACGGGUGAGUAACACGUGAGUAACCUGCCCUUGACUUUGGGAUAACUUCAGGAAACUGGGGCUAAUACCGGAUAGGAGCUCCUGCUGCAUGGUGGGGGUUGGAAAGUUUCGGCGGUUGGGGAUGGACUCGCGGCUUAUCAGCUUGUUGGUGGGGUAGUGGCUUACCAAGGCUUUGACGGGUAGCCGGCCUGAGAGGGUGACCGGCCACAUUGGGACUGAGAUACGGCCCAGACUCCUACGGGAGGCAGCAGUGGGGAAUAUUGCACAAUGGGCGGAAGCCUGAUGCAGCAACGCCGCGUGCGGGAUGACGGCCUUCGGGUUGUAAACCGCUUUCGCCUGUGACGAAGCGUGAGUGACGGUAAUGGGUAAAGAAGCACGGGCUAACUACGUG